This is an RNA transcript of Cuculus canorus (common cuckoo), 15736 nucleotides long. It is a transcript of the gene named ST8 alpha-N-acetyl-neuraminide alpha-2,8-sialyltransferase 1, with no coding region annotated. The record is from RefSeq and is a predicted model, not a curated record. NCBI's taxonomy places the organism in Eukaryota, Metazoa, Chordata, Aves, Cuculiformes, Cuculidae. The transcript is spliced from 6 exons.
GCGGAGCAUCGCCUGGCGGGGAAAGCGAGGGACCAAAUGACUGUGAGGAAGGACGGGAGCUGCCGCCGAGAGAGGCGCCCCCGCAGGAGACCCGGCGGGGCGGCGAUGGAGGCGGGCGGCGGGCUCGGGGCGCGAGGCUGAGCCGGAGCCCCCGCAUGGCGCGGGCCUGAGAUGCUGGAGCGGGGCCCGGGGCCGCGGCGGCGCUGCGGGGCGAGGAGGAGGAUGGCGUGGAAGUGGCCGCGCACCCGCCUGCCCGUGGGGGCCAGCGCGCUGGGCGUCUUCGUCCUCUGCUGGCUCUACGUCUUCCCCGUGUACCGGCUACCCGACGAGAAGGAGAUCGUGCAGGGGGUGCUGCUGCAGCAGGGCAAGGCGUGGAGGAGGAACCAGACUGCGGUCACCCUCUUCAGGAAACUGCUGGAAGAAUGCUGCGACCCUGGGCGGCUCUUUGCUAUGACAAAGUUGAACUCCCCGAUGGGAAAGAACCUCUGGUUUGAUGGGGAAUUUUUAUAUUCUUUCACUAUUGACAAUGCAACUUACUCUCUCUUCCCACAGGCUACUCCCUUCCAGCUGCCACUGAAGAAAUGCUCCGUGGUGGGAAAUGGUGGGAUCCUGAAAAAGAGCGGCUGCGGCAAACAGAUAGAUCAAGCAGAUUUUGUCAUGCGGUGCAACCUUCCUCCUCUAUCCAGUGAAUACAGCAAGGACGUUGGAUCGAAAACCCAGCUGGUGACAGCAAAUCCCAGUAUAAUUCAGAAAAGGUUCCAGAAUCUGCUGUGGUCUCGGAAAGCAUUUGUGGACAGCGUGAAGGUAUAUAACCAGAGCUACAUCUACAUGCCAGCUUUCUCAAUGAAGACAGGGACAGGACCCUCCCUACGUGUCUAUUACACCCUGGAGGACUUCGGGGCCAAGCAGGCGGUCCUUUUUGCCAACCCCAAUUUCCUGCGUGACAUUGGCAAGUUCUGGAAGAGCAAAGGUAUCCAUGCCAAACGGCUUUCCACAGGACUUUUCCUAGUCAGUGCUGCCCUUGGUCUGUGUGAAGAAGUAACAAUUUAUGGCUUCUGGCCAUUCUCUGUGGACCUGCAUGGGAAAUUUAUUAGCCAUCAUUAUUAUGACAAUGUCUUGCCCGAUUCUGGAUUCCAUGCCAUGCCGGAGGAAUUUCUACAGCUCUGGUUUCUUCAUAAAAGUGGUGUUCUAAGAAUGCAACUAGAACCGUGUGAGGACCCUUUAAUCCAGUCUUCUGCCUGAGGAUCACAGGAGUUGGUUUGGGAGAUUGUAACAGUUAGGUAAGGGUUCUUGUGAGGUACAGCAAAAAAGCUGGAAACACACAAGCUACUAUAAACAGACAAUUUAUUAGUAAAAAUUAGUGCUUUACUUACAAACAGCAAGACGGUUCAGUAAUCAUAACUGUCAGGGAUAAUAAUGAUAAUUCAUGUCCCUGUGUUGUAGCAAGGUUGGGCACAAAGCUUAGCAGGUUUCCCUGCGACAACAAUGUAGGUUGUGGUUUAUUGCCGCACCUUGCCACAAGUUUCAGGGUUAUUUAUACAGGUUUGCAUCCUGCCACGUAGGGCCAGUAUGUGCCAGGAGACGGUCUCAACUCUGCCCUUCAGUUAUAUAAUCACUGCUCAUUAUUGCUCAUGCGCAAAACUCAGUCGAGUGUGUUUCCUCCUCCUAAGGGUGGUUUCUUCAUCUUCCUUUGUCUUCCUCACUUGUCCUUCAGCCAUCUUUGGCUGUCUUCCCUUUGUUGAAGGUCGUUUGCAACUGCAAGUUUCAUAACUCAGAUGGGAAACACAGUUGGGGAAAAUAAUCAUGGAUCUGCAUGGACCAUAAGAAUGCUACUUGAAGGCCAAAUGGAGUAUGUCCUUAAUGUAAAGUGCUUUAUGGAACUGGAGCGGGGGAAAGCGAAUCUCUUCAUUGUGUCCGUACAGCAGCAUUGUGAAAAUAACGUCAGAAGCAGCACAGCUGAACUUUCUGGGGGACAUUUUUAAAUGACCGAUGUUAAAAGGGCAUUAAGGCUUGGAGAGGCACAGGGCCACCCACAAGCUUUUGCUGACAGUGCCAAAUAUGACUGUCUGUUAAAAAAUCCAUUUCAUUCCACACUGGCACCAUGUACAACUUUCCUUUUUCCUUUUUAUUUUUUUUUUCCUCUUUGUACGUGUGGGUGUGUGCGUAGGAGAGCACGUGUGUUGUUGACUCCUUUGUUUCUUUCUCCUUUCUUGUUUUCCCUUUUUUUUUUUCCUUUAGCUUUUUUUUUGUUUCCUCAAUGGAAGGAAAAGGAAAGGCUUAUAAGCCCCAGGAGCCAAGUACCAUCAACAUCUCUGAAGACUCAAGAGAGUGAAGGGAGCUAAGAAUCUGGUUAGAAGAAGGUCCUAGGAAUGCCUUGCUACUGGGUAUGGGUGGACCUAAUUGCUGUAGAUUUUAUUAGGUUAGUUUAGGUCAUUGCACUUACAGCUAUAUUGUGGGUAAGAGCUAGUUAGGGGAAAUUGGUCUGCAAAUGAAAUUUGUGUUACCAAAGCAGUAGUGAAGUGCAGCCUGGUUUCAGUUGACCUGCUGCAAGUUUUCCACAGUGACUUUUGUAGCAGGGAUGGUUCCUGACCUGCUUUGCUGUCCAGCCUUGAGGAUUAAUCCUGUAUUCACAUUUGGACUCCAAAUGUUCAUUGACUGUAAAGGGGAUUUGGGGUGUUCAGUGAAAUGCAGAAUGAGGUUGUUCAUUUGCUUAUAGCAGAAAAACUGCAGAAAUGAAUGUAAGUGACACUUAAGAUGAGUUGAAGCUUUGAAAAUCCUUUCUCUUUGUGUGACUAGCUCUUCUGCUUGGAUUGUAAUGUUAGCCUUAAAGACUUGUACUUUUCUUGCAAGAUUGUCUCUGGUUAAAGAGAGUCUGAAAAGCAAAACAGCCUUUGGGAGCAUUAAAAAACUGCAUAGCCAGCAAGAAGAAAAGAAAAAAAAAGAAAAUCUGCAGGCCCUUACGUAAGGCAGCCUCUCUCCUCACAGUGGGUAAAUUAUGUCAGUAUGCGCAUUGCACACGUGCUGCCUGGCCAGCACAGCGCCUGAAGGAUUGUUUUAUUUUGGGUUAAUACUGGGGCAGCAGAUGGUCCUAUCGCCAUGAAAAUGAGAAAUCUUUUUGUUUGUUUGCUUCGGCUUAGCACUGUAGGACAAGAAUAGAAUACCAGCUCAGUCCACAGUGUAAUUUCAGCUGCAAGAUGUUAUUACCAUUAACUUUAAAACCCAGAUCAGUGUUCUCUUUUUUAUCCUGUAGUAAAAGUGUUGAAACAACAAAACUGUAAUCAGGUUUCCACAACAAUUUCCUGUGCUACCUGUUUUAGAUCCAAAGUGCUAGUGUACUGGGGGGAUGUGUCCUAUCCUAUGUUGACAAUGUCUCUCUUUGUAGACGGCCAGCUGCAAGUUAUAUAGAUAUAAUUAAAAGAACCCAAACAAGUAAAAUACAUGGCUCUUCUUUAAAUAUAAAUAAUUCAACUAUCUAUGUAGGACACUGGAAAAAUAAUAAUGUUUUGCUUUUUAAAGCUAUGUUUCAUAAUAAAAUCUUCUUUCUGAAUAUCAGUAUUCCAAACUCAAAGUGGGUACUGUUCCACAGCAUUAUAUGGCAAUGCUAAACUGUAAUGUGGAAAUUUGGGUUAAAUAGAAUUCUAGAAAUUGUUCUGAUAAAAUCUGAAUGUGCUUCUGUAACCCAUUUUAUCUGUUAAAAGUACAGUGAACACACUGAUGGAAUGUCACUUGAUAAUUCAUUCUCUUUUAUUAUGUUUGUUUUGUCUGUGAUGUGGGUACUUGGUGAGGAGGGAUUUAAAAGUUAAGUUUUUUCUUUACUGCUUGUUAUGGUAGAAUUUUACUGAGCUGCCUUUCUUGGAUGAAGAAAAGGGUGCCUGUAUGGUUUAUAUUGUAUGUGUUAAGUUUUGUAAUUCUCAGUGCUUUAAAUAUGACAUUAUUUGUCAGAACAACAGUCAAAAUGUGGUGUGCUGAAAUGGCAUUUCUUUGGGGGUGAUAGGGAAUAAGGACAGUAGGGAGAAACUGCCUUUUUGCUGGUCAUUUGGGGUUUUUUUUGUAUGUUUACUAAUACUUGGGAAUUUAGUCUUGAACUUCCCUGACAGCUCUUCAACCCUUUGGCAACCCUUUUUUCUCAUGUUUUGGGGAAAUAAUUGUAUUAGAAGAAUGAGAGGAAAACAUGUAUUUUUGUAGCACAACUCAGUGCAGUGUUCAGUAAUACUUGGCUUGUUCAUGUUCAACUGGUGCCAUAGAUAUCUUGUGAUAUUCUACUCUUCACCUCUGUAAGACUGGGGCAGACUGAACCUGUAGCCUGUGGUCUUCCUGAGUGCCUUUUCAUGUCUGCAGUCCUGGUGUCUGCAAGGAGAUAGCUUCCAAAAACUUAUGAGAGUAGGAGAAACCCAGGCUGUGUGCAGUGUGACUGGUGUUGGAGGAAUUGAUAAUUCUGGCUCUGUUCACUUUUAUGCAUAGUGUAUAUAACUGCAUCUUACAAUGACAACCACAUCCGAUGAAGAAGUAAAGGCUUCAAGGAGAGAUAAUUUUCUAUAACUUCCAGAAAACAGGCAACCGAGCAAAGAAGUGAAAUGAAAAUUAAUGCCGCUUUUGAGAGAACAAAAUCUGUUUUAGCUUCUCAGUCCAUGUGAACACACUGGCCAGCGAUCAGCCUUUUGCCCAGCAAGUAUAAAGGGACACAGGAGGGGUACUGCAGGAGUUUUGUGGCACAAGGAGCCACAAAACAAUGAAAAGAAAAUCAGCUGGGAACUGUAAGUGUUAACCAUGAAAAGUCAGCAUCUUGCAGGUGCUCGAUCAGAGUGAUUAUGUCCAUCCAGCAUUUAUCUAUUGUUUGAUUCCAGCACAUUGAUGGUAGUGCCCUCAAUAAAAUCUCAUUGCUUGUAUUGCUAUAUUUUCCUUGAAGUGAAUCAAAACCUUAAUAUUUAUUUUUUAAUGAAAUUCCCUACUCUAUCUUCUCUGUUUCCACUGCCAGUCUCUGAAUUUCUCUGAUAAUGUAACUGAAGCUGCACAAGUCUUUGCCAGGUUGAAAGCUAUCAAAGUUAAUCUUCAAUAAAAACUAGGUCAGACUGGCCAAAUGAUUUGUUAAUGUUCCUAAUUUUAUCACGGUUACUAAUUUUAUCAUAGAUGUGACAAGGUAUGGAAGCGCUGGAAUAAUUUCUCUACAUAGGAAGCAUUGACCCAUGUUUGUAAGUAGAAUGAAUUAAAUUCCUUUACAAGAGUUGUGAAUGGAAGAUAUUCGGCAAUGAAAUUACUCUAGAUAUAAUCUUUCAGGGGUGUAUAUGCUUUUGAGUAAAACCAGACCAGUUUUUGAACUUGUGCCAAAACUAUUCCUGUUAAUUGUAAAGCCUUUGCAGCUACUUCUAAAACAUACGAGAGAAAGAGAAGCCAGCAGGUCUUAAAAUCAUAGAGAAGGGUGCGUGUGCUCAUGAGAAUAAAAACAUUUAAUAUUGGUCCAGACCUUGCUAUAAUACUAAGUAGUCCUAGUAAUGAAUGUUGUAUUUUUAUAUUUUUUUUACUGAAAUGAAGAUAUCAGGUUUGGAAUGAAACAGCUACAAACGUCAAAGGUCUAAGCCUCUGUUACAGCUUAAUUUUUGUAGUAUGUAGAAAUAUCGGCCAUUUUGUGAACUUGACUACUUUGAUCUUUUUGUUAGCUUCAUCAGAAUGUGUCAUAACAUGCACUGCUGAGUUUGCACCUCUGUGAGAACUGAAACUCAGCAAAGCAUCUGCUUGUUUUAAGCUGGAUGUCUGAACUGUGGUAGUUAUGUAAAACCCUUCCUCUACAGACCUUCAUGGAAACUGGUUUAAUAUCUGGCUUACCCUUGCCUGUAAUUAAUAACUAGAACAGUAGUGAGGAUCCAGAAAUGCGAGUGAUGGAGGAGCUGAAUGAUAUCUCACCAUUUGCUACCUGCUUUGUUUCUUUUCUUCAGCUUACUAGUAAAUAUUGGAAAAAGUCCAGGUUCUGUGAAGGACAGGCAGUUCUUGAAGGGCUGCAUGAUGCUGGAAAAAAGGAAGAUCAAAUCUGUGGUGUAACAAAUUGGAGAGUAGUGUAGCAAUUCUUGAUAAAGAUCCCCAGUUCUCAGCAACUGUAGGAUAUUUUCUUCUGGUAGUGAUUGUGAAAAAUGGACUGCAUGUGACCUACUGAUGGUUUUCAGUGAGAUGGCAGCAAAGCAAAAUGCUAUGAGGAGGGGUAGCUGAUGAAAUGAAAAGGAAAAUACAGUGGAACAAAGAACGAUGAUAAAAAAUCUGUCUUUUCCUUCUCUCUUAGUGCUCCCCCGCAACAUAUAUUUAAAAUGGACUAACCAGCUAUUAGGAGUCAAUGUCUCCUUCAUGAAAGGAUGUGGUGGGAUUUGUACUAGCUGAAACUUUCUGGUAAACAAAAUUAAUCAGACUUUGUCCUGAAAUGCAUAUUCUAUGACUGUUUGAGGGAUGCUCUGUGGGCUGUGGCUGUCUUGGAGUGCUAUGACCUCCCUAAUGGGACCAGCAUCUAAUGUCAUGUGGUUCUAACAAAUCUCCCUCUGGGAUCAUCUGGACUUAAUAUUUGUGCCGCUACAAGUCAUGCUAAAGGUUCUGUCUGCUCUAUCCUUCCUAAUGACUAUCCUCCUUGGGGUUAGAACUGUGAUUUAAAAAAUCAGCCAUCUUCUCUUCUAAAAUGUUGAUAAAUCCAAACAGAGCUAGCUCCAAAUUAAAAAAAAAAGACUUCAAUUAGAUGUUGGCAAUUCCAUCACUGGUGAUGUGAAAGAGUAUGGAAGAAGGCUGUGUUUUUCAAAGUGAUUGUUGUAAAAUAAUUUCUGCUUUCUUGAAUUCCCAGGUUUUGUCACUUGGAAUCUACCAGAUGUUUGGCUUUGAACCGAAGAAUUCAUGAAAGACUCACUGGCCUUUUUGUUAAAUAUUAGCAAAUGUGUUUACGUAAGUGUAAUAGAGAGAGCCAACAGGAGGCGUAACCUAUCAUCUGUAGCUGGUAUUUCUUUGGCAGCUAUGAGAACAUAAACAGCUAUUUAUUCCUCCCUGAUUAUUCAUUUUCUUUGGCUUUUAUUACAGCAGGUUGAGCCCUAGUGUAUUCAGCCUCUUCAGCUUAAUGCAUAUACUUAAAAAUGAAUCUCACUCUGUUAUUUCAAAUGGAAAAACAAAAAAAAAAAACCCAAAAAACAAGAAAAAGAAGUGUUGUUAACUGAAAAUGGUUGAAUAGGUUCUCUCUGCAAUCAGGAGAGACAGGACCCCCCAAAUGGUGAUUCACGUUUUUAUUAACAUGGGCUGCGUUCCGAGGUUUCUGCAGGACUGUGAAAACAGCCCAGCUGUGUCUAUAAUGUGAAACUUUGCAGGGCAGAGCAGAACCUUAAGCAUUUCCCCUAGCGUUGUAUAGCUUGCUUGUGUGCAUAUUGUGACUUUGUCAGACCAAUGCUGUCUGAACUCAGGCACUGCACGGGGCAGGGGGAGGGAUGCAGCUCCUGGCAGUCUGCGUGGAUGAUGCCAGCCUGCUCUGAGGGGUUUAGCUGUGCAGUGAGUUCAGCCGACUCUGGCAUGCUGCUCGCACUCAGGGACAGUAAGUAGACCUCACUCGUGUGAUGGCAGCAGGGUACAUUCAAUACAGUAGCAUGUAAGGAUAAGUCUUUUCGCUGCCAGGACUUUGCAGUCACUGGAAUGGCUCCAUUUAGAACUGCGAUAUAUACAAUUCAGCAAGUGCUGUUUCAGAGCAGGUCCUAGAUAAUUACCCAUGGCAAGGUUAGUUCUCUCCUGUUUCACAGUCAGAAGUGCUAGACUUGCUGGAAUUGAUGGCAGCUUAUCCCUUUGGAGACCAGCCUGCCUCUUGCCCUGAAACACUUUUGAUCCCUGACAAGUCUCAGAAGGGCCUAUUAAAACUGCAUCUUAAAAUAUUCUACAUGUAGUUCCCUGCUGCUGUUGAGUUGGUCAGCUUUCUGUCGAGCUGAAUAUUUAUUCUUUUUGGAUUCCUCUAAGGCAAGCGAACCUUUAGCAUUCAGACGACCUGGAAUUUACCAUAUUAUUUGGCGGCUUCACCUUCCAAGUUAAACCCUUCUUUUCUUUUAGACUAGACGUAACUAUUGUGAUUGAAUUUAAAGGGAAUCUAAAAAAGCAACAUCACAAAUAAUUGUUCUCUGGUUUUAUGACUAAUAUAGUGUUCAGUAAAACAGUAAAGUACCUUCUGAGUAGUCCAGUUGAUUUCUAAUUGUUUAUUCAAUUAAUUAUUUUGGUCAGAUGGGGCCUACAGCAAAGAUGAGUUGCAUCAUUUUCUGUUUAUUGGAACGGAGCAAUUGCAGAUGUUUAAUAUGUUUUAAACCUAAUUCUUGCUAAGAAGUUAGGGAAUCUGUGUAUUCCACAAGAAGAUUUGUUAUUGUGUGAUUAGCUUGGUAGUAAAAAAAAUGUUUUCAGUGAGAAUAGAUGCACAGAGGAAAAAUGUUUUGAUUAGAACAAUAUAAUCUGGAGCAGCAAGACCCAGAUUCAAAUUCCUGCUUGGAAGACUUCAACCAGGAGCUCGGUGUGCUGCAAGAUUGUUGUAGUCAUGACUUCUUCUCCACAUGCAUUAUUUUUAGUGGAAAAUACUUGAACACUUUUUUUUUUAUAAUCCCCAUGAGUGCUGAAAAUAAACAUGCAUAUUUUCAAGAGCACAAAUUUUCUUUUUGGAUGCCCAUAGUUUUUAGUACACAGGGCAAAACUGACAGAAUAUAUCUGGUUUUCAGGAGAAUGCUGUUUCGGUGUAGUCUUGCAGGGCUUAGGCAAACACACGAGUUGAUUGCUGCCUCUUGAUCUGUAGAGUUUCAGCAGAUGAUACAGGGUGUGCUAUGCUGGCAAGAAAAAAAAGGAUAUUUUCACUGCAGCUCUGCCUGCUUGAUGUCUCCCAUAUGCUGAGUGGUAUUUCUUAGUUCUGUGAGGGCUCUUCAAGUGUGAACUUUGAUCUUGAAGAUCAUGCGUUUACUAAUUUUAAAGGACUGGACUUUGAAUGUACUGAAAACUGAAAGAGACAUUGAAAUAACUUGAAAUAAGUACUUAAGUGCAGCAUUUGGUCAUGCUGGAUUAUUUGGCCUAUUACAAAACAGACCUGUGUGCAUGUGAAAGACAUUUUAUCUCAAUAUGAGACUUGUAUCUAUGAGGAGGUCACUGGAGGGUAAAUGCCUGAUGCUGCGUAGGACAAGGACUUCAAAAAAUCAUGUUGCAUUUUUAUUUAUACCAGUAAUGAAAUUCCCAUUGAGCCAAUGUUGGAUUAGGUCAGCAUUAAGCACUCUUUAAACUCCGACCCCAUAGGCAUAAUUUCCAAGAAUUCUCCCAUGCAAAGGCAGAAUCAGUAGAUUUUAAUUUUCUUCAUGUGGUUUACCUUGCAUUGAAAGUGGAAUGAAGUGUCAAUCAGAACUAUUAUUUACCCUUUUUAGAGAUCUAUGUAGACUGCCUAAAUAAUAUACAGGCACGCAAUUUUACAAAUAUUAACAAAAUAGCUGAUAACCUGAAGUUUAUCACUCAAACAUUGAUUCAUAUCUUGAAGAAUCAUUCUAAAAUCAUGUAGUGAGAAAAAAAAAAUCCUUUUUUUUUUUCUAAAAUGCACCAAUAGCCAAAUAAAUUCUAUGCUAGGAGAUACAUGCACUUCUAGUUUUGUACUUAAGUCCAUACUUUUGCAAAGCUUCCAAUUUUAGACUACUGCAUGUGGAGUAAUCCAUUAGAUUAAAAUUAAAUGUUAUACUCCAAAUAUAGUCAAAAAAGAAAGAAAACCAAACUCAGGACAGAGGUUCUGAUCUUCUGAAUUCUGUUACUGUUUAUGUAGUGCCAUUUAGUUGUAGAGUCUAAAGAACUAGCUAAAGGUCAAAAAGGAGAUAAAUAAACAAGAUGACAUGGUCUAUCUGGUAAAGAUAAAGGAAUGCAAGCAUAUAUUAAAUGCUUUGCUGAACUGGGACCUUAAAUUAUUGACAGAUGUUAGGUCUUUAUUCUUCCACUUCUCUUUUCGUUAGUUCUUAAGGUACCAGGAUGAAACCUGCUGCAUUCACAAAUUGUUUAAAAUCUCUCCACUACAGUGAACAUUCCUCUAGGCUCUAAAUCUGAAAAAUGUAACAGAGAGGCAUAAACCGCUUGAGGUUUAUUAAUACGAAGUGGAAGCAAGUUUGUAUGCAGUAUUUCUCAUCUUCCUAGUACUAGUUAUUAUAUUAAUUCAGAAUUAAAACGAAGGCUUUCUUAUUUCCAAUACCACUUACAUCAGAAUAUUUGAUAUCUUUCUUUGUGCAGUGGUUUCUUUGUCAGGUGAAUGAAGAUUAUAUUUAGCUCACUGGGAAAUGGUUUGAGGGUUAGUUAACUCAUUCUUGGGAAGUAAAGUGAAAAAAACAGAAAUUUUAUAAAAUAUAAAGGCUUAUCUGUUUUGACCAGUGAAAGCAAGCAGACAGAUAAACCUUUUCAUUUGACUGAAUUUAUGCUUCUAUGUUAAAAUCCACCUGCAUUAUUAGUAAGUACAACGAGGAUGUUACCUUUGGAUAGCACAUAGAUUGUUGGAAAGUGAAAAGUCACUCUUUUAAUGAGAAAAGAAGGUUUGCUUCUCUCUGCCCUGCGCUUCAAUUUUUAGCGAAAUUCUCUUCUCUCUUUUACUGUUCUGGCUCCCGUUGAAUCAACAGAAUUCCCUACAUUUUAACCAGCUGUCCUCAAACAUGAGGAAAUUUAUGCUAUGGAAAUUUCAACUUAAGAUAGUUUAAAGCAGUGCUCAUUUAUGCUAACUAGUUAAAUGUUCCUAUACAGUAGGCUACUGAUUUUUUCCACAAAUGUACAACAUGAGCAUUUUAUGCUAUUUGUUAGUGAUGGCUCUAAGAAGAUAUCUUACUGUAUUUCAAAUAUCUGCUGCACUAGGCUGUCACAGUCUGAAAUCAAAUCAUAAUCUAAGUCAUGUCCUUAUUUCAGCAAGUUGCAUAGAAGUGAUCCAUGCGCUGGUCUGUCAAGUACAUUGCAUGAGCCAAGUGAAAAAGAAAAAAGGAUUUUACUACAGCAUGAAGACUCAGCAUUGACUGGCUCUAUCUGGGAAUUACAUAUUCUCAAGUAAUUUAUUGUCUAUGAUGGAUCUGAUGCCUGCUAAUGUUUCCACUCAUUGCUAAAUAAUUUUGUUAGAUUUCAAUGAUGUAAUUAUAUAAUCUUUUCCCCUUGCCAUUUGACUGCAAUUUUUCUUCUCUGAUAGUCUUUGCAGGGAAGAAAUCUUUCUUUAAUCUUUCUUUAUUCUCUCUCUUUUUUUCUUUAAAUGACAAUUUAAAUUUCAGGCUCAAUUCUAAUAUCAGGUUCUAAUUACCUUAAAAUGUUGUUCUUAGGUUUUUUUUCCUGUGUUGUGGAUUGUCUUUUAACACUGAGUAUGAUGAUGAAUAAUGAAGUCUCAACAAAUUAUCUUCUUAAACAUCUAAAGUCUUUGGCACCUGAAAAUUCUUUUCAUUUUCAUAAAACCUUGUCUGGCUCCAAGUGUCUUUGGUUUUUAGCUUAAAUUGCACACAGUCACAUCUUGAAUCUUUGCAAUAUCUUAGUGCACUUGUAGUCAAUCAAGCAUCAAUAAAAUAUAAAUCAAUUUCUAAAAUGUCUUUGGACCUCAGUAAAAGCCAAGGAGUCUUUAAUAAACUUUCUUAGUAAUGGCCUUUAACUACCAUGAUGAUAAAAAUAUUUUUAAUUUUCAUUUUAUGUCUUAUGGAAGUUAAAAUGUCAGCUGAGUAUAUAAACAAAUCAGUAUUAGCCUAGUGAUCCUUUUGGGUUUGGUACAUGUAUUAUUUCCAGUGACAUUAUUUUUCAUUUUUUCUUUUGUUUGCAUCUCAGUGAAUUUCAGAUUCUUAUCCAACACCUAAAUGAUUACUACAUGUAAUGUAGAGGAAUUGCACUUGGUAAGGUUUCUGGUCUGCUGGAGAGUUUAGUCAUAGUCUGUGUUUUGAAUGAAGGAUAUUUUAUCCUCUUCCAGGAAGAGAACUGUUUGAGUCAGAAGGCAAGGUACUAAAAAAUAGCCACCUUGGUCCUGUCUUGCUUGUGUUGAAUACCUGUGCUGGAGUCAGAGGGCACCCUUUUUGGGCUUUAGGAGGUGCUCAGGAGUGCUGCUGGGGUUGUAUGUUGUACUAAGCAGUGGGGCCAGGCUGGCGUAGAUGUUUGGGGUAGUCCCAGGGCUGCUGGGUGCUCGUGGUCUAGCCAGGUGAGAGGAGAGCCAGUGCAGAAUAAAAGUGAUAUGAGCUCUGGAAUGAAAUGUCAAGUGUGGUCCCAGCCCUUGCUAGGCCAGGGCUGAGCAGGAGCCACUGCUGUCUGCUCGUGCUGCAUGCUCCCUCCCAAGGACAUAGCAUGGGGUGCUCAGUGCUCAGACACAGGCAACCUCACUGAGUCUGCUGGGCAGGAUAGUUUUGAAUCUGAGAAGUAUUCUUCCAGUUGGAAAUUCAUGGAGCAGAGAGCUAUGUCAUCCCCAAUCCUGCCUUUCACUGAGGGAACUGGGGUUGUUCCUGAGGAAACUGGGAUUGUUUACCCUGGAGAAGAGGAGGCUGAGGGGACAUCUUAUCACCCUCUAAAACUACUGUAGCAUUGUGGAUAUUGGUCUCUUCUCCCAAGUAACAAGUGGUAGGACAAGAGGAAAUUGUGCCAAAUUGUGCCAGAGGAGGCUUAGAUUAGAUAUUAGGAGAAAUUUCCUUACUGAAAGAGUGGUGAAGCAUUAGAACAGACUGCCCAGGAAAGUAGUGGAGUUGUCAUACAUGGACAUGUUCAUAAAAUGUGUAGACUUUGGAACAUGCUUUAGUAGGCAUGGUGGUGUUGGGCUGAUGGUUGGACUUGAUGAUCUUAGAGGUCUUUUCCAGUCUUAAUGAUUCUAUGAUUUCCUGGUCCUGAGCAGCUCAUCACAUGAGCUGGGUGCUGAGAGUUCUCUUGGAGGAGUGACUCCUCCCUGCAGCCUCCUGGUGCUGCAGCAGAACCUGCUGAGAGGAGCCAGCAAGUGUCUAGACACUCUUAAAAGCAGAGCAAACUUCAAGUGCAACUGCUAUAGUAAUCAACACAAAAAACCAAGACAAAUAUUUUUCCUUUGUUGUGGAAGGUAGGUCAGCACAAAGCAUUUUCAUGCCAUGCUUUAGCCACUUACAAAUCAAAAGCAAGAAGUUUGAAUGUGCAAACAGUUUGCUGUAAAUUCUGAUUUUUCUCCCUGAGCACAGGGUACAAAUGUCUCCCAUUUUUAUUUUAAGCCUUUUUUUGAAGAUUUUUAUUGGUUUGUUUUUUUUUUUAAAUGACAAAUAUGAGUAUCUAAGUUGGCAAAUGAAAGCUUGUAGAGUUCUUUUAAUCUCCUUCAACUUUGGCGGUUCAAGGUGACAUAGCAAUUCUGCCUUCAUGGUCAAAGCCCUUUAAGAACUUGUAAACCUGUGUGUUUCUUAAGCAUCUCACUCACCUUGCUUUGACCUGUGUCAGUCUGGUUCCACUUGUCUGUAUUCUGAAAGCCCAAGAGAAAAGCGAACAACAAAAUAUGAAGACAAUUAGAGGUGCCUCGCUGUGAAAUUUUCAUAGAGUGAUACAUUGCUUUGAUAAUGAACUGUGAAAUGUAGCAUGCGGAUGAUGAUGGAUGUAAAAGACUGCAUGUGGUUUUAUUUGAAUGUCGUGUCCAUGAACUGGGUUAUUAGUAUGAGCUCUGUAGUGUAAAAAAAGAUAAGGUAAAUGGAAAUAAGGUAUCUCUAGCAGUUGUUGAAGCAAACCACAUCCUCUUCUGUCUAUCUCCCUUUUUGUAACCAAAGUUGGAUUCUGGUAAUGGAAGCUUUACUGUUAUAAUGGUAAUAAACUGCUCACUCCCUAAAGUUCAAUACACUUCUUACCACUAUUGUAAGUGGAAACCUAUUUGCUUUUCCAGCUGAUCAGAACUCUUCCCAGGCAUGGGCUCAUUGGGCUGCACUGGGCUGGGAGAUCAGUCAGGCUCACUGAUAAUGCCAUGUCACAUAUUUACUGCCCACAGAAUUCAACAGUCUUCCUGUGCCAGGAAAUAAGUGACUGUGGCUUGGUAUGGUUUGAUGCUUGCUUAUUGCUGGAAACUGAAGUGCAAGAUAAAAUGCCGUGAGCUGGCUUCCAUUUCUUGUAGGCAUUGUUUCACACAACUUGAGGAAGGAAUUUUGGGCUUGACUAGAACAGAAAUGGGACAGGCAAAUAUUUUGCAAAAUUAUUAAUUCUGCAUUUACCUUAUAGAAGUAUUCAUGAGAAGUCAGUGAUUUCUGAAAGGAGUAACAUUUAUUCCCUUAUCCGCUGAGUUGCAGUGAUCCUGAAAUACCUGCUCAGCCACAGAGGUCCGGGGAACCCACAACUGGCUGAUUGCUGAGCUUAUACCAACUCCCUGAUGUUUUGCUUAGGUAACAAAAUAGGUUAUUUAAAUACAAGCAUCCCAGGAAGCAUUGCUUGAAGGAUCAUGAUUGGCUUCUCUUUGGUUCAGGACUGCAAGUUCUCUGUUCUCAUCUUCCCUGUCAUAGCACCUGCACAUCUCAGACCUCUUGCUUUGUAGUUGACCCUAUCUGCAAGGCUGGCUAUGAGAGAGGGCAAGCCUUCCUCCCGGUGGAGUGCUCAAGCAGGUGAUGAUUAAAUCAAUGGUGAAACAUAUCAUAUCAUAUCAUAUCAUAUCAUAUCAUAUCAUAUCAUAUCAUACACAUACACAUACACAUACAGAUAUGUUUGGAAGGAGCUCAGUGUUUGGGUAAAACAAGCUAACUUGAGAUCAGUCUGUGGUUUAUAGUAAUGCUGAUAGACAAUAGCCCAGGCCGGACAGAUGCAAAGUGUCUCCUUUCUCUUUAGGGACUGGACAUAAUUGCCAUUUUUGUUCUCUCAUACAAUAUUUCCAAAGGAGUAAUGUGAUGUGGGACAUCAGUGUUAGUUGUUGAAUUUUUUCUUUGCGUAAUACUAGUACUUUGAUUUACAAUCCUUCUUAUCUUGCCCAGUUUAUUGAAAAAUGUGAUGGUAAUGUGGUAGUUCAAUGUCUUGAGAUGGUUUUAAAGUAGAUAAGCAUAUCAUUAUGCCUCUGAGGUUGCAUAAUUCCGUGGAUUUAUCUUACCUACAGUGACUGGCGUGUAAUGUUUAUUGUAUCAUUUAUGAUAUAUGUCAGCACUACAGGAUGGAUGUUGUGUCAAGAUGACUUGAGCACUUGGGUAAACAUCUCCAUGAACCACCAUCAUUUUGACACACUCAGGGGCAAAGGUACUUGUGUGAAGUGUGUUAAACAUCACAAAGCGUGUGUUGUUUAGAGUCUUGUGAUUAGGAUUUUGAUCUUAUUCGCUCCAAUGUAGCAAAUGUUUGGUGUCAGCUAACACUGUUAUGAGGACUAAGGGUUUGUCUUUCUUUGCCUGGCAAUAAUGUGUUUUCUAUUAUGUCAGUAGACUUGUUCAUUUUCAAGUAGUGUGCGGUACUCUUUUGAAGAAUGUAUCUUUUUCAGGUGGUUUAAUGGUGAGUGUACCCCAAAAUGUCUAGAUGUCUCUCAAUAGCAAAAAUUGCUUUGUUAUUGAAUGUAUUAUUUAUUAACAGUAUCUUAUUGUCUUUUUCUAGUCACAUUUUACAAAAUAUGCCACAAGCAUCUCAUGUGAUUUUUAUAAGGAAAGUCUUAUUUAUAAAAUUCGUGCAAGUAGAUGGAAACAAAUCUCAAUUUUAUAGUAGUCCAUGCCUUUUUUCAUAGUUGAAGAGUCUUAAUGAGCAUGAUCAGAAGGGACAAGCUCAUUGUUUUGUUUAAUUUUGAUGGAAUUUUUCAAAGGUAACUAUUAUGUUAUUUAUACUUUGGAUUCAAUUAUCUUAAUAAAUAAAU